GACGAACGCUGGCGGCGUGCUUAACACAUGCAAGUCGAACGGAAAGGCCUGCUUUCCCUUGUGGAUUGCGGGUACUCGAGUGGCGAACGGGUGAGUAACACGUGAGUGAUCUGCCCCCAACUUGGGUAUAAGCCUGGGAAACUGGGUCUAAUUCCCGAUAGGACUGCAGGGUGGUGCCUGUGGUGGAAAACGAUUUUCUAGUGGUUGGGGAUGAGCUCGCGGCCUAUCAGCUUGUUGGUGGGGUAAUGGCCUACCAAGGCGGCGACGGGUAGCCGGCCUGGGAGGGUGGACGGCAACAUUGGGACUGAGAUACGGCCCAGACUCCUACGGGAGGCAGCAGUGGGGAAUAUGGCACAAUGGGCGGAAGCCUGAUGCAGCGACGCCGCGUGGGGGAUGACGGCCUUCGGGUUGUAAACUCCUUUCGACCGCGAGGAAGCCACCUGGUUGGAAGGGUGGUGACGGUAGUGGUAGAAGAAGCACCGGCUAACUACGUG
This 494-nucleotide ribosomal RNA is filed under the name uncultured bacterium. RNAcentral's name for it is "partial 16S ribosomal RNA". It matches the Rfam family "Bacterial small subunit ribosomal RNA", at positions 28 to 507 of the family's 1533-position model. The record is from RNAcentral.